CGUAGAUAGAGGAUAGAGUAUAGAUAAGCUACUAAUUAAAAAAAAAAAUAGAGUGAGAAAGCUUAUAUGUCAGAUAAAUAUGGGAGAGCAGGACAAAACAUUUUUUUCUGUCUCCGCUUGCGUAUCGGUUUUUUAUGUUUGCCACCAUUUGCUUUGGUGGCAGACAAUUGCGUGGUGUUUUGAUGUUUUUCAUCAAUUUAUAGUGAUUUCAUGUCAAAUAAAACAAUCAGAACAUUGUUCUACACAGUAUUUUGUGUGAUUUCGUUUGCAGUAAUGGUGAAUUGUUGUAUAAUUGGUUGUAAAAGCCGUAGUGAACGAAAAGAACCAAACAUAACCUUUCAUCGAUUCCCGAAUGAACCAAGUUUAAGAAAUAAAUGGACGGAGUGUACGGGCCGAGUACAUUGGCAUCCAAGUCAACAUUCUCGAAUAUGUUCCAGACAUUUUGAAUCCAGAUGCUAAAGUAUCUGAAAGUUCGAAUACAUCAUGCAGCUAAAAAGCUUUCAGAAAAGUCUGAUAUCGUCAGGAAUUUUUAAAACAAAUUAAUUUUGUUUAAGGGUCAGUGAUACUGAUUAAAGUAUUAUAUUAAA
This is a long non-coding RNA of Ostrinia furnacalis (Asian corn borer), 587 nucleotides long. RefSeq lists it as uncharacterized. The transcript is spliced from 2 exons. The record is from RefSeq and is a predicted model, not a curated record. NCBI's taxonomy places the organism in Eukaryota, Metazoa, Arthropoda, Insecta, Lepidoptera, Crambidae.